GGGCUGAAGAGAAGAGCAUUUGGGGGGUAACUUUUCAGAGAAGAGAAAAAAUGUGGACCCUGAUCUUUCUAGACAGAAGUUUGGGGGUCGGAGUUGCCAGGAGUGAUACCUCGACUGCUUUGCUCUAGAUUCGUCUUCCAGCAGGCAGUUGAAAAGCAAAAUCAUUUCUCCAGAGAAGUGAAGCGAAAGGAAUGACUAGGAAGUCACACCUGCGGGGAGGAGGAGUGCCAGCACUUAGUGUGGGGGCUGGUGCACCAGAGAGCAGCACAGUCUUCACUAGCUCCGUCUACACCUGGUUAGAGAAGGCUAAAACCUCAGACAAACUUUCCUUGUCUGGGUUCCUUCAGGAGACAAAUGUUGGUCUGAAAGGUCUUUUAAAAAGAUAUUGCAGUGUUAUAAUUAAUACUGGACGCUUCCUUUAUGCCUCCUUGCUCUUUAGCACGAUGAUGUUUAUAAUUUGCUCUGUCAAUGGAAGAACUGCAAGAAAAAAAGAAAGCAGAGGGAUGAAUCCACUAAGGGAAAGUGUGGUAAUUUAA
This 536-nucleotide long non-coding RNA is filed under the name Monodelphis domestica (gray short-tailed opossum). Its description in RNAcentral is "lncRNA (ENSMODG00000049242.1)". Lineage: Eukaryota; Metazoa; Chordata; Mammalia; Didelphimorphia; Didelphidae. The record is from RNAcentral.